This 68-nucleotide small RNA is filed under the name uncultured Phyllobacterium sp. Its description in RNAcentral is "S-element". It matches the Rfam family "S-element". Rfam says of the family: This family represents a group of S-elements from p42d and related plasmids. Lineage: Bacteria; Pseudomonadati; Pseudomonadota; Alphaproteobacteria; Hyphomicrobiales; Phyllobacteriaceae. The record is from RNAcentral.
UGUCAAGACUUUUUGGCGUCGUUUGGGCGGAUGGAUUUCUUUUGCCUAUUGAAAGGUAGAAGACGAUG